UUCCCUAUACUAGAGAAUACGCCCGGCGAAAGUCGGAUUUAAUGCUCUAUGUUCUUCUUUGAUGGCAUCUGACGAGAAGCAAAGGUUUACCGGUAUAGGAUGGGGAUGCGUCUGAUUAGGUUGUUGGCGGGUAACGGCCCACCAAGCCUACGAUCAGUAGGGGUUCUGAGAGGAAGGUCCCCCACAUUGGUACUGAGACACGGACCAAACUCCUACGGGAGGCAGCAGUGAGGAAUAUUGGUCAAUGGGCGAGAGCCUGAACCAGCCAAGUAGCGUGCCAGGAUGACUGCCCUAUGGGUUGUAAACUGUCUUUUAUGCGGGAAUAAAGUCAGGUACGUGUACCUGUUUGUAUGUACCGCAUGAAUAAGGACCGGCUAAUUCCGUGCCAGCCGCCGC
This 396-nucleotide ribosomal RNA is filed under the name uncultured bacterium. Its description in RNAcentral is "bacterial SSU rRNA". It matches the Rfam family "Bacterial small subunit ribosomal RNA", at positions 127 to 518 of the family's 1533-position model. The record is from RNAcentral.